CAGUUUGUCAGAUUGGUUUAAGCUAAUAAUCAGGUAUUUUUUACCAUUGAUGCCCAAAUUAUAUUUCAGCUUUCUGAGAAAUCCCACAUUUGAGGCUCAGAAUGAAGUAGCAUUCCCACCGUACAUUAGUGUAUAGUACAAGGAUGAACAAACCAGGAUUCAAAGUCAUAUACCCAUUCUUGAAGAACACCCACAACACACUGUUGAAAACAUAAAUUGUUAGUUUAGUGGAAUUAUGUGUGUCGACAUGGAGACUGAAAAGAGUGUGAACUGAUUGAUGUACCACAUGCAAAAUCGCUCUGGUUAGUAGUUUGGGUUAAUGACUGUUAGUUUAGGCUUCUAUGAGACAUUUAUGUCGUGCUCAACGAUAACACUAGGCUUAGUUAAGAGCAUUUCCCUUAAUGAAACCUUAAUGAGUGUUUUUCCUAAUGGGUGUUGGUUAAAAUUUGUACUAAAAUUGUUAGUACAUGCUUUGAGGUAUCAGGUUUACCGCCCAUGCCACUGCUUUCAUGUGUGAGUUCUCCUUCUCCAUUCCUAAUCCAUCUUCAUCCCGAUCAAUAUCAAUAUGGAUGUCUGCCCCACCUAAGUUACUACCAUGCACAUCUUUUUAUUUAUUUAUUUAUUUAUGCAACACAUUAAAGUUGCAACUCCGGGCUCUCUCCUUUUCAAUAUACUGUUGUACAUUCUUAUUCACUCAAUGUUGUACUCCUCUCUCACAUUAUCACUACUACUACACAAAAAGUCCAUUUAUUUAUCACUAUGUAACUGCACGCACUCUGCGCCUGAUUUACAGGUAUAUAUACACACAGUACGGUUAUUAAAAAGAAAAAAAAAAAACACGUGUCAUAACUUUUGUUUCUGGUGACGCAGUGACAUAAAAAUAGUAUUAUUUCACUGUAGACUUUACCUCCUGUCUUUAUAAGUAGUAAAGAUGUUUUGUUUGAUUUGUUUUAAAUCAUUUUGUACGUUGAGUUUUCAGUCCAUUUAUAAUCCAUGACAAAUAUCCAUACUGAAACCAAGCUUGAAAGAUUUGUAUUUGUCUUCAAAAUUGUAUUACUAAGGUUUAACGUUCGAUGAUCAAUCUGGAGUUUGUAGAGACUACUAUACAUAGUUGCAUGGUCUUCAAGCAUUGAAUUGUACAAACUAUUGAGAAGAUUAAGAGCAGAUUAUGGACGAGUUAGACCAAGAGAUGGCUGAAUGUGGUCAUGUAUCGAUGAGUAUUAGGCGCAUGACUGGUACAUAUGUCGCCUGCAAAGGUGACAAUGUUAGUACACCGGCAAUCAUAGAUUGGAUCAGACUUGAGCUUGGUAGAAUACGUGGAGAGCUGAGCAAGAUUUUUGGAUUAGAUUGUGGAACAUUGAUCUUUUAGAUUUAGAUCCGACUUAUAUAUUCUAUUGCUUAAUUUUGCUGAAAAUUGUCAUUUGGCAUAAAAAAUGGGACAUGAGACACUGUCACUAUGGUGCGCUAAUUUGUAUUGUUGUUAGCUUAUAAAGCUGACGAUACACCAUAUGUACAUAGCAUUUUUAUGUUCAUCAUGUUACUUUUACCAUAUUAUUUUCUGUAUAAAGAACAGUUU
RNAcentral lists this long non-coding RNA (1576 nucleotides) under Aquilegia coerulea. Its description in RNAcentral is "long non-coding RNA (ACOE_LNC001255)". The record is from RNAcentral. Lineage: Eukaryota; Viridiplantae; Streptophyta; Magnoliopsida; Ranunculales; Ranunculaceae.